UAGGGAAUCUUCGGCAAUGGGGGCAACCCUGACCGAGCAACGCCGCGUGAGUGAAGAAGGUUUUCGGAUCGUAAAGCUCUGUUGUAAGAGAAGAACGAGUGUGAGAGUGGAAAGUUCACACUGUGACGGUAACUUACCAGAAAGGGACGGCUAACUACGUGCCAGCAGCCGCGGUAAUACGUAGGUCCCGAGCGUUAUCCGGAUUUAUUGGGCGUAAAGCGAGCGCAGGCGGUUAGAUAAGUCUGAAGUUGAAGGCUGUGGCUUAACCAUAGUACGCUUUGGAAACUGUUUAACUUGAGUGCAGAAGGGGAGAGUGGAAUUCCAUGUGUAGCGGUGAAAUGCGUAGAUAUAUGGAGGAACACCGGUGGCGAAAGCGGCUCUCUGGUCUGUAACUGACGCUGAGGCUCGAAAGCGUGGGGAGCAAACAGGAUUAGAUACCCUGGUAGUCCACGCGGUAAACGAUGAAUACUAGGUGUUGGUGCCCGAAGGGCAUCGGUGCCGUCGCAAACGCAAUAAGUAUUCCACCUGGGGAGUACGUUCGCAAGAAUG
This 549-nucleotide ribosomal RNA is filed under the name uncultured bacterium. RNAcentral describes it as "bacterial SSU rRNA". It matches the Rfam family "Bacterial small subunit ribosomal RNA", at positions 355 to 896 of the family's 1533-position model. The record is from RNAcentral.